This 253-nucleotide ribosomal RNA is filed under the name uncultured bacterium. RNAcentral describes it as "partial 16S ribosomal RNA". It matches the Rfam family "Bacterial small subunit ribosomal RNA", at positions 524 to 776 of the family's 1533-position model. The record is from RNAcentral.
UACAGAGGUCUCAAGCGUUGUUCGGAUUCAUUGGGCGUAAAGGGUGCGUAGGCGGCGCGGUAAGUCGGGUGUGAAAUCUCGGGGCUUAACUCCGAAACUGCAUUCGAUACUGCCGUGCUUGAGGACUGGAGAGGAGACUGGAAUUUGCGGUGUAGCGGUGAAAUGCGUAGAUAUCGUAAGGAAGACCAGUGGCGAAGGCGGGUCUCUGGACAGUUCCUGACGCUGAGGCACGAAGGCCAGGGGAGCAAACGGG